Molecule: ribosomal RNA, 372 nt
Filed under: uncultured organism
Description: bacterial SSU rRNA
Rfam family: Bacterial small subunit ribosomal RNA
Source: RNAcentral
CAGAGGGGGCAAGCGUUGUUCGGAAUUACUGGGCGUAAAGGGCGCGUAGGCGGCCCGCUAAGUCGAACGUGAAAUCCCCAGGCUCAACCUGGGAACUGCGCCCGAUACUGGCAGGCUUGAAUCCGGGAGAGGGAUGUGGAAUUCCAGGUGUAGCGGUGAAAUGCGUAGAUAUCUGGAGGAACACCGGUGGCGAAGGCGGCAUCCUGGACCGGUAUUGACGCUGAGGCGCGAAAGCUAGGGGAGCAAACGGGAUUAGAUACCCCGGUAGUCCUAGCCCUAAACGAUGAAUGCUUGGUGUGGCGGGUAUCGAUCCCUGCCGUGCCGAAGCUAACGCAUUAAGCAUUCCGCCUGGGGAGUACGGUCGCAAGGCUG